UCUGGGUCAGAUUCAACAUGGAUGCAGUGGAAAUACACAAGGCCCCAAAAUAAUCCUGUUCCCGACGCAGUCCAAGAGAUGCACAAGGUUUUUGACGCAGUCUCCUGACGCAGAUCUUCUCAGACAGCUUUCCCAUUGUUACGGGCCUGCCUCACUCCUCCUGGGCUGGUUUUAAAACAGAUUACAGGAUCAGCGUGUCUGCCCUUUUGCUCUGUCCAGUUGCAUACCUGAACCGACGCUGUAAGUAAUAAAGUAGGACCUCCUUUGAUCUGAUGUCCCAGCCAGAGGCUUCUCCCUCCGAGCAGACAAUACUCUAAUUCAUUACUGGACCUGCCUCUUCAAAGCUCAACCACUCUGCGCCGGGAAACUCUAAACUUAGGCCCCAGACAGGCUCUUUAAAAAAAAAAAAAAAAAAAAAAAAAAAAAAACACCCCUCACCCCCUGGGCACUGAGGUGGCGGCUGGAUGAGUCCACAUAAGUCACGGUAGCCUGCACAUAUCCCCUCCUUUAGCCCCGCAGCACCACACCUAUCCCCCUCAGGUGACAGGUGGAUUAUUGGGCAUCGGUAUUUCUGCAUUCUCUUGCCCAGUUAUAAGCAGCUUGUUGACCGUGGGAAAAUGUCACUUAAGAUCUGCAGAAACUGUCUGCAGAUUUAAAUCAGAUUGUUGCUGUAAAGUGAUUUUUGAAUUUCUUUCACUGUGCCACACAAUUUUGAAAGAGGACUUUUGUGAGAUAACUUGCACGUAAAAAAUCAAAGUAAAUCCACAGCAUCCAUUGUCUUUUUAUCACGUUUUCAAAGCAUCAUUUUACACUGGGAUGUGUUUGUUGUUGCGGUGUAAUCCCUUGUUAUGACCUCAAAUGGACUGAAUGGCUGGUUGGGCACUCAGGAGACCAUUGAACCACUUGAGUAAACCAAAAAGAGUUUGACUUGUUCAGGCAAGAGGAUCUGUAGAAAGUGCUGAUCCAUAACAAAGUUUGCCCAUGAUUUUUGUCUUGGUAUCAAGAUAGAGAUUCAGAAUGUGGGUGUUAUAAAGAAGCCCUCUGAGAUUGUAAGGCCUUCACAAAUAAACGUGGCUUGGCUUAGCUUGUUUUCAUUUCAUAAGCAUUUUAGUUGCAGCUGCUUCACAGGGAUAAAUCUCCAGUAACACUAAAGAUUCAGUUAAAGCUCACCAUAACA
This is a long non-coding RNA of Lates calcarifer (barramundi perch), 1177 nucleotides long. RefSeq lists it as uncharacterized. Lineage: Eukaryota; Metazoa; Chordata; Actinopteri; Centropomidae. The transcript has 3 exons. The record is from RefSeq and is a predicted model, not a curated record.